GGAGCCCGCGGCCCGCGAAUGUCGGGUCGGGGUGCUCAUAGGCGGAGACACUGGCCAGUCGGGGUCGGCAACGGCCUGAUGCUCUAGUACGACCAGCUGUGGCUGGUAGGGAACGGGUUGAUGGUGCGGCUGGGUUCGAUGUAUAGCACCCUGUUGGGUCCUGAAGGAACAACCGUUGGUUGUCUUUCAGAGCCAUGUGGCGGGCGGGAGCUCGUCUGGCGCCAGGCACGGCCUGGUGUGGCAUACCGCCGGCGGUUGCCGGGUUUGGUGUCACGCUUGUGGGUUGUGGGUUGGU
Molecule: unclassified non-coding RNA, 295 nt
Filed under: Micromonospora sp.
Lineage: Bacteria; Bacillati; Actinomycetota; Actinomycetes; Micromonosporales; Micromonosporaceae
Description: partial 16S-23S ribosomal RNA intergenic spacer
Source: RNAcentral